RNAcentral lists this RNase P RNA (267 nucleotides) under Alphaproteobacteria bacterium. Its description in RNAcentral is "partial RNase P RNA component class A". It matches the Rfam family "Bacterial RNase P class A", at positions 1 to 248 of the family's 367-position model. From Rfam's summary of the family: Ribonuclease P (RNase P) is a ubiquitous endoribonuclease, found in archaea, bacteria and eukarya as well as chloroplasts and mitochondria. Its best characterised activity is the generation of mature 5'-ends of tRNAs by cleaving the 5'-leader elements of precursor-tRNAs. Lineage: Bacteria; Pseudomonadati; Pseudomonadota; Alphaproteobacteria. The record is from RNAcentral.
UCAGAGGGCCGGGCGGCCGCUCCGGCGGACCAGGUGGUGCGCCGGGGAGGAAAGUCCGGGCUCCACGGAGACACGGUGCCGGGUAACGCCCGGCGGAGGCGACUCCAGGGAAAGUGCCACAGAAAGCAAACCGCCCGCCGUCUCCCUCAGGCAGGCAGGCGGCGUGGUAAGGGUGAAAGGGUGCGGUAAGAGCGCACCGCCGUCCUGGCAACAGGACGGGCAUGGCAAACCCCACCGGGAGCAAGAUCGCAUAGGGACGGCAGAUGA